RNAcentral lists this ribosomal RNA (464 nucleotides) under uncultured bacterium. Its description in RNAcentral is "bacterial SSU rRNA". It matches the Rfam family "Bacterial small subunit ribosomal RNA", at positions 917 to 1382 of the family's 1533-position model. The record is from RNAcentral.
GGGCCCGCACAAGCGGCGGAGCAUGCGGAUUAAUUCGAUGCAACGCGAAGAACCUUACCAAGGCUUGACAUGCAUUCGACGUCUCCAGAGAUGGGGGUUCCGUAAGGCGGGUGCACAGGUGGUGCAUGGUUGUCGUCAGCUCGUGUCGUGAGAUGUUGGGUUAAGUCCCGCAACGAGCGCAACCCUUGUUCCAUGUUGCCAGCGGGUGAUGCCGGGGACUCAUGGGAGACUGCCGGGGUCAACUCGGAGGAAGGUGGGGAUGACGUCAAAUCAUCAUGCCCCUUAUGUCUUGGGCUUCACGCAUGCUACAAUGGCCGGUACAAAGGGUUGCGAUCCUGUGAGGGGGAGCGAAUCCCAAAAAGCCGGUCUCAGUUCGGAUUGGGGUCUGCAACUCGACCCCAUGAAGUCGGAGUCGCUAGUAAUCGCAGAUCAGCAACGCUGCGGUGAAUACGUUCUCGGGCCUU